AUUGAACGCUGGCGGAAUGCUUUACACAUGCAAGUCGAGCGGCAGCGCGGCCUUCGGGCUGGCGGCGAGCGGCGAACGGGUGAGUAAUGCAUCGGAACAUGCCCAGUCGUGGGGGAUAACACUUCGAAAGAAGUGCUAAUACCGCAUACGUCCUGAGGGGGAAAGCGGGGGAUCGCAAGACCUCGCGCGAUUGGAGUGGCCGAUGUCAGAUUAGCUAGUUGGUGGGGUAAAGGCCUACCAAGGCGACGAUCUGUAGCUGGUCUGAGAGGAUGAUCAGCCACACUGGGACUGAGACACGGCCCAGUCUCCUACGGGAGGCAGCAGUGGGGAAUUUUGGACAAUGGGGGCAACCCUGAUCCAGCCAUUCCGCGUGAGUGAAGAAGGCCUUCGGGUUGUAAAGCUCUUUCGGCAGGAACGAAACGGUGGGCUCUAACAUAGUCCGCUAAUGACGGUACCUGAAGAAGAAGCACCGGCUAACUACGUG
This 484-nucleotide ribosomal RNA is filed under the name uncultured bacterium. Its description in RNAcentral is "partial 16S ribosomal RNA". It matches the Rfam family "Bacterial small subunit ribosomal RNA", at positions 30 to 507 of the family's 1533-position model. The record is from RNAcentral.